This 72-nucleotide non-coding RNA is filed under the name marine eukaryotic metagenome. Its description in RNAcentral is "Glycine riboswitch". It matches the Rfam family "Glycine riboswitch aptamer", at positions 9 to 86 of the family's 94-position model. From Rfam's summary of the family: This family represents the bacterial glycine riboswitch. The record is from RNAcentral.
GACUCUGGAGAGUUCCCACUGCGUUGGGACGCCGAAGGGGCUAAAGCUCUCAGGCAUCGAGGACAGAGGGGC